GAUCCUGGCUCAGGAUGAACGCUAGCUACAGGCUUAACACAUGCAAGUCGAGGGGCAGCAUGAACUUAGCUUUGCUAAGUUUGAUGGCAACCGGCGCACGGGUGAGUAACACGUAUCCAACCUGCCGAUGACUCGGGGAUAGCCUUUCGAAAGAAAGAUUAAUACCCGAUGGCAUAAUUCUUCCGCAUGGUAGAACUAUUAAAGAAUUUCGGUCAUCGAUGGGGAUGCGUUCCAUUAGGUUGG
This 243-nucleotide ribosomal RNA is filed under the name uncultured bacterium. RNAcentral's name for it is "partial 16S ribosomal RNA". It matches the Rfam family "Bacterial small subunit ribosomal RNA", at positions 15 to 249 of the family's 1533-position model. The record is from RNAcentral.